This 285-nucleotide unclassified non-coding RNA is filed under the name plant metagenome. RNAcentral describes it as "partial contains small subunit ribosomal RNA, internal transcribed spacer 1, and 5.8S ribosomal RNA". The stretch from base 1 to 54 matches the Rfam family "Eukaryotic small subunit ribosomal RNA", at positions 1778 to 1831 of the family's 1831-position model. The record is from RNAcentral.
GGAACUAAAAGUCGUAACAAGGUUUCCGUAGGUGAACCUGCGGAAGGAUCAUUAUUGUAUAACCGAGGUGCGAGGGCUGUCGCUGACCCGAAAGGUCGUGCACGCCCGAGUGCCCUCACACACAUCCAUCUCACCCCUAUGUGCACCACCGCGUGGGUCCCCCUUUGGCUUGUUCGGAGGGGGGCUUACGUUUUCACACAAACUUUGUAUGCAGUGUAGAAUGUAUUUUUUGUUUUUGCGAUCACGCAAUCAAUACAACUUUCAACAACGGAUCUCUUGGCUCUC